This 301-nucleotide ribosomal RNA is filed under the name uncultured bacterium. RNAcentral describes it as "partial 16S ribosomal RNA". It matches the Rfam family "Bacterial small subunit ribosomal RNA", at positions 509 to 807 of the family's 1533-position model. The record is from RNAcentral.
CAGCCGCCGCGGGAAAACAGAGGGUGCGAGCGUUAAUCGGAUUUACUGGGCGUAAAGCGUGCGUAGGCGGCUUCUUAAGUCGGAUGUGAAAUCCCUGAGCUUAACUUAGGAAUUGCAUUCGAUACUGGGAAGCUAGAGUAUGGGAGAGGAUGGUAGAAUUCCAGGUGUAGCGGUGAAAUGCGUAGAGAUCUGGAGGAAUACCGAUGGCGAAGGCAGCCAUCUGGCCUAAUACUGACGCUGAGGUACGAAAGCAUGGGGAGCAAACAGGAUUAGAUACCCCGGUAGUCCAUGUCUCUUAUAC